RNAcentral lists this long non-coding RNA (2458 nucleotides) under Mus musculus (house mouse). Its description in RNAcentral is "long non-coding RNA chr2:69949884-69952342". Lineage: Eukaryota; Metazoa; Chordata; Mammalia; Rodentia; Muridae. The record is from RNAcentral.
CCAGGACUACACAGAGAAACCCUGUCUCAAGAAACAAGCAAGCAAACAAACAAACGAAUCUAGAAUCCAAUUCUUAGAAGUCAUUUAUGUCUUUGUAGCUGCUUAUUGAUUUUUUUCAGGGGGGUGGCAUGCAAGUACACCUGUGGUACUGUCUGUGGAUGUCACAGACUACUUUCAUUAGGACCUGGGUACCUUGUUUUUGAGCAGACUCUCUCAUUGACAUACAGCUCACUAAGUAGGCCAGGCUGAUUGGCUAGCCCUAAGGAUUUGCCUUCCUCUUUCUUCCCAGUGCUGAGAUUAUAAGGACAUGACAGGAUGUCUGUCUUUCCUUUCCAUGAGUUCAGGGGAAUAGGACUCAGUUCUCGUGUACACUUUCUAACUCUCCAGUUCUCAGUGAUGCUCUUCAUAGCAAAGUGGUGGGAUUCAGAAUCAUUUGGAGAAUUGUAUUACCUUCUCUCAGAUCUCUUUCUAGAACAUUUUUCUCAAUGUUUCUUUAUCUUUCCAGACCAUGGCAUUUUGAAAGAUAUAGAUCAUUUACUUGUAGGAUGUUCCUCAGUGUAAGUUUACAUCAGGAUUAAAUUCAGACUCUGUAUGUUUUCCAGUGAUAUAAAGGCCGUUGGAGGCUUUCAUGGCAUCUAAUCUAAUGUAGUGUGUGUCCCUGUGUUUGCUUACUUUGAUCACUCAGUAUGGUACCUGCCUAGCCUUUUCAGCAUACAGUUGUUCUUUUUUUCAAUGUAACUAAUAAGAUAUUUUGUGAGGACCCACCUUGAAACUAUGCAGAUAUUUCUGUGUUCUCACUCAGUUUUCAGUUCACUAGCUUAUUUUUGUAUGAUAGGGUUCAUGGUGUUUAGUUCGCUGUGCUGUGUUUGGUUCUCAGAUUGUUUCAGAUAGGUGUAUGGAUGUGACGCCAGUAAGAGCCCCUUCAAGUUGGUGUUAGUGUUCUCUUGUGUAUCUACCCUUUUAAUACUCCUAUGUUUUUUGUCCCUUCAGAUGUUUAGGGUUAUUUUACAGUUUCAUUAUUCCUUUCCUUCUUUUCCUGGGGUCUGUAUUUGUAAAGCUACCUGCUAAUUCCUAAUGCACAACAGUGCUUAGAAAGCAAGCGUUGGGCGUAGGUUUAUUCAUGCUGUGGGUGCUUCAUUCUUUCCAGGGUUAACUCAGCAGAAUGUAGGGGCAUAGAUAGGAAUAUAGAUAUAUCUGCAUCUGCCUCUGUUUUUAUAGCUACAUGUAUAGUGUUAAGUUCAAACUUACAUUUUAACACAAAAGAACUUAUUCUACUUUGGUUUUUGAAACGUCAGAACUUAGUAUUAAGAUGAUCCUUUCAAAGCUAUAGUUCUAAAAUUGUAAGUAUUGAUUAAAAAACAGGAUAGGAGUUAAAGUAGGUGGGACUAUGUUUACAAUGCUUAAACCUUGAAGCCUGUGCUAAAUAUUCUUUGACUUGUGAAUUUUUUUUUACUUUAGCCAGCUCCUAACCAAGUCACUUUCCACCUACCACUGCACCGCUACUAUGCUAUGUUUUUGAGUAAGGUGAGACAGUUCUUAAGGAAUUAUCUUGUUGUGUUAUUUAUAAUUUUCGGGAGAUUAUUGAUUUCCUAACCUUUUAACCAUGAAUUUUUAGGCUGUGAAAUGUCAAGAACUAGAUUUGGAUUCACUUUUACCGGAUCAGGAAAUGUUAAUGAAACUAAUGAUUCACCCACUCCAAAUUCAAGUAUGUAUUAAGGCUUCUAAAACAUUUGGAAUAGGAUUUCUGGGUUAACUCAUUCUCCUGUAAUUUUAGUUAAUGCUGGACAUAAAGAAUUAAAUUCUAAUAGAGUAAGAAUGAUUUCUCUAAUCCGAUUUUUGAUAGAAUUAAAUUCUGAUAGAGAAAGAACAAUUUCUCUAGUCUGAUUUUUUUAAAAUUUUAUUUCCACUUAUUUGUAAGAUGGGUUUUCUAGGUUGAAUGUUGAUUAGGUUGAAUUAAAGACUUUGACCAAUUAGACUUGCUUUAUGCUCACUUCUUUUAAACAUUAUGUAUGGUUUUUGUUUUUGGUAGGGCUGGGAUUGAAGGAAAAAUAGAAUGAAAAGGAAGCACUGCAUUUUCCAAAAAGAUUUCAUUGAAGUUUUUAUAAAUAUAUCCAGAAGCCAUAGUGGAAAACUAGCUCCUUUAUACACUUUGAAGAAGAGACCUAUAUGAAAUAUAGUCAUUAGUUUGGAUAUUUUUUUAAACAUAAACCUAUAUUAGUGGUACAGAGGCCAAUUUGAGGUGCAUAGUGGUUUUUGUCAUCAGUCUAGGAUCUAUCUCUAUCUCUCCAUAUUGAGGCCCUGUCCUAAAAACAAAAGCAAAAAAAUGUAUAUUUAGCUGGGCAGUGGUGGUGCACGCCUUUAAUCCCAGCAUUUGGGAGGCAGAGGCAGGCAGAUUUCUGAGUUUGAGUUCCAGGACAGCCAGGGUUAUACAGAGAAACCCUGUUUUGAAAAACCAAAC